UACGGAGGAUGCAAGCGUUAUCCGGAUUUAUUGGGUUUAAAGGGUGCGUAGGCGGGAAAAUAAGUCAGUGGUGAAAUCCUACAGCUUAACUGUAGAAUUGCCGUUGAUACUGUUUUUCUUGAGUAUGGUCAAGGAAGGCGGAAUGUGUAAUGUAGCGGUGAAAUGCUUAGAGAUCACACAGAAUAUCGAUUGCGAAGGCAGCUCACAAAGCCAAGAUUGACGCUGAGGCACGAAAGUGUGGGGAUCAAACAGGAUUAGA
Molecule: ribosomal RNA, 259 nt
Filed under: uncultured prokaryote
Description: partial 16S ribosomal RNA
Rfam family: Bacterial small subunit ribosomal RNA
Source: RNAcentral